This 443-nucleotide ribosomal RNA is filed under the name uncultured bacterium. RNAcentral describes it as "partial 16S ribosomal RNA". It matches the Rfam family "Bacterial small subunit ribosomal RNA", at positions 338 to 795 of the family's 1533-position model. The record is from RNAcentral.
CCUACGGGAGGCAGCAGUGGGGAAUAUUGGGCAAUGGACGCAAGUCUGACCCAGCAACGCCGCGUGAAGGAUGAAGGCUUUCGGAUUGUAAAGUUCUUUUAGUAGGGACGAAGAAAGUGACGGUACCCACAGAAUAAGCCUCGGCUAACUACGUGCCAGCAGCCGCGGCAAUACGUAGGAGGCAAGCGUUCUCCGGAGUGACUGGGUGUAAAGGGUGCGUAGGUGGUUAGGCAAGUUAGUAGUGAAAUUCCGGGGCUCAACCUAGGCACUGCUUCCGAUACUGUUCGGCUUGAGUUCAGGAGCGGCAGGUGGAAUUCCUAGUGUAGCGGUGAAAUGCGUAGAUAUUAGGCAGAACACCAGCGGCGAAGGCGGUUCACUGGACUGCAACUGACGCUGAGGCACGAAAGCGUGGGGAGCAAACAGGAUUAGAUACCCCAGUAGUC